This is a long non-coding RNA of Artibeus jamaicensis (Jamaican fruit-eating bat), 521 nucleotides long. RefSeq lists it as uncharacterized. The record is from RefSeq and is a predicted model, not a curated record. The transcript is spliced from 2 exons. Lineage: Eukaryota; Metazoa; Chordata; Mammalia; Chiroptera; Phyllostomidae.
ACCACUCAGCGCCCUGGACUACGGAGAUGGAAGUCGCAGGGUGUGGGGCAGAGGUCGAAGGCCCCUCCUGCGUCUGCCUGCUGUCAGAGUUCCCCUGAGUCAGAGCGUAGGGCAGGUGUGGCCGCCCCGGACCGGUCCAGACUAAUUAGUCCCCGCACUAAUGAGCUUGGAACGCACACUGCCGCCGCACCCAGACUCCGGCCUGCGCUGUCCCCAAGGAGGGGACAGAUUGGCUUCCGGUCUGGCCAAUGUGACUCCAGGACACAGGGUCCUCAAAGCAAGAAGCUCGGAGCUUGUGGGCGCCCAGGAGCCCGGCUGAGGACUCCAGUUCCACUGAGAAGAACGGAUCCCAGAAGAGGGAGCCCACUUACACAGACGACACACGAUCAUGCCUGUGCACUGGACUGUGUGGGACUGCAUGUUUGUGAAUCGUAAAAACACUAAAAUCCGGAAGGCACACCAUGCGGAUGCUACGGAGGCAGCCUCCGUUGGGUGUCGGGGUUGCAGGAGGUGCUGAUUUA